CCUACGGGCGGCUGCAGUGGGGAAUAUUGCACAAUGGGCGCAAGCCUGAUGCAGCCAUGCCGCGUGUGUGAAGAAGGCCUUCGGGUUGUAAAGCACUUUCAGCGGGGAGGAAGGCGGUGAGGUUAAUAACCUCAUCGAUUGACGUUACCCGCGGAAGAAGCACCGGCUAACUCCGUGCCAGCAGCCGCGGUAAUACGGAGGGUGCAAGCGUUAAUCGGAAUUACUGGGCGUAAAGCGCACGCAGGCGGUCUGUCAAGUCGGAUGUGAAAUCCCCGGGCUCAACCUGGGAACUGCAUUCGAAACUGGCAGGCUAGAGUCUUGUAGAGGGGGGUAGAAUUCCAGGUGUAGCGGUGAAAUGCGUAGAGAUCUGGAGGAAUACCGGUGGCGAAGGCGGCCCCCUGGACAAAGACUGACGCUCAGGUGCGAAAGCGUGGGGAGCAAACAGGAUUAGAUACCCGAGUAGUC
Molecule: ribosomal RNA, 465 nt
Filed under: uncultured Klebsiella sp.
Lineage: Bacteria; Pseudomonadati; Pseudomonadota; Gammaproteobacteria; Enterobacterales; Enterobacteriaceae
Description: bacterial SSU rRNA
Rfam family: Bacterial small subunit ribosomal RNA
Source: RNAcentral